CCUCGGGAGGCAGCAGUGGGGAAUAUUGGACAAUGGGCGAAAGCCUGAUCCAGCAAUGCCGCGUGAGUGAUGAAGGCCUUAGGGUCGUAAAGCUCUUUUACCCGGGAUGAUAAUGACAGUACCGGGAGAAUAAGCCCCGGCUAACUCCGUGCCAGCAGCCGCGGUAAUACGGAGGGGGCUAGCGUUGUUCGGAAUUACUGGGCGUAAAGCGUGCGUAGGCGGUUAUUCAAGUCAGAGGUGAAAGCCCGGGGCUCAACCCCGGAACGGCCUUUGAAACUAGGUAGCUAGAAUCUUGGAGAGGUCAGUGGAAUUCCGAGUGUAGAGGUGAAAUUCGUAGAUAUUCGGAAGAACACCAGUGGCGAAGGCGACUGACUGGACAAGUAUUGACGCUGAGGCACGAAAGCGUGGGGAGCAAACAGGAUUAGAUACCCUGGUAGUCCACGCCGUAAACGAUGAUAACUAGCUGUUCGGGUACUUGGUAUCUGAGUGGCGCAGCUACGACAUUAAGUUAUCCGUCCGUCGGGUAGGUACGGUCGCGAGAGUAAACUAACAAAUAGAAGUUAGACGGCGUGUAGACGUUGCGAACGACGACGACGAGGGAGGAGG
Molecule: ribosomal RNA, 606 nt
Filed under: uncultured bacterium
Lineage: Bacteria
Description: bacterial SSU rRNA
Rfam family: Bacterial small subunit ribosomal RNA (bases 1-517)
Source: RNAcentral